This is a non-coding RNA of Anas platyrhynchos (mallard), 512 nucleotides long. The record is from RefSeq and is a predicted model, not a curated record. Lineage: Eukaryota; Metazoa; Chordata; Aves; Anseriformes; Anatidae.
GUUUAGAUCCCACUGGGACAUAGACACAAAUGAUGUGCUACUGGGGAACACAAAAGAACAGCAAUCCAAGCUACAAAUUGAAUGCUAAAGUAUUCCUAAACUCUUGAGAUCAGCUCAUUGAUUUAUGGGAAGGACUGAUGUCAGAUGUGAUGCUUCUUGACAUAUAAACUACUGGCUGUUUGUCCUAGAAACCUCCAGAUACUGAGCAGAUCAAUCCAGGAUAACACUAAUAAACAGCCAAGGAAUCUGCACUUUGGACAUUUUUCUCCAUGGACAUCAACCUGCGGAGGCAGAGAUACCCAGCUCACCUUGCCAUCUCAGAAAUGAAGUUUACCCUUCUGCCAGAGCUGCACGUGGGGACUCUUGGCCCCGUGUCCCCAGGGCCCAGUGACAGAGGCCUCCCAGUAGAGGUGCUGGAUACAAACAUUUUAUAGCCUAAUUUUGCAAUAAGACCUUGGGGAAAAUUUGUUUUUGUUUUGUUUUUCUGCUGAUCCCUUUCUUCCCUUUCUCAA